AUGGCAGUAGUUCUUGGUGACGAUCCGAAUGAGCUCCUCGCCCUUGAUGGGGAAGCCAGAGGUCUGGUGCGUGUUGCCAUCACCUCUGCUGCCAGCAUGUCCUUCUCCUGUAGGGUUCGAUUUGGGCGGAUCAAAAUGUCGAACACCUUAUGUGCAGACAUCACGCUCGGAAACGGGGACGAGCGGGGUGUGGUGUCGAUUUGGGCAAGCUCGUCGCUGAUCACUAACUUCCUCAUGCCCUUCUCCUCUACUUCUCUAGACACUAAUGUGGCAUCCUGGUGCCUUGUGGUCGCAGUCGAGGCCCUCAUCAUGGUGCUACUAUCAGCAUCGGUCGUCGAUGUAUGCGGAGCCAUGAAAUUUGUACAGCAAAGAGGAGGGGGAGAGGGGGGGAGGGAUGGGUGCCUUACCGCCCUCGACCGGCGCCGUUUGUACAGCCACGCCGCCAGCAAGGUUGAGGGCAAAGAUGCUGCCGGCAUGGACCUCGUCAAGCUCCUGGCAUCCAGUCACCGUUGUCGCUCCCAUGCUCUCUGCCGACGCCGCCAUGUUUCUCCCAGAGCUCGGUGGUAG
RNAcentral lists this ribosomal RNA (567 nucleotides) under Triticum aestivum (bread wheat). RNAcentral describes it as "partial small subunit ribosomal RNA". The record is from RNAcentral. Lineage: Eukaryota; Viridiplantae; Streptophyta; Magnoliopsida; Poales; Poaceae.